RNAcentral lists this transfer RNA (73 nucleotides) under Acropora cervicornis. Its description in RNAcentral is "tRNA-Thr". It matches the Rfam family "tRNA". From Rfam's summary of the family: Transfer RNA (tRNA) molecules are approximately 80 nucleotides in length. Lineage: Eukaryota; Metazoa; Cnidaria; Anthozoa; Scleractinia; Acroporidae. The record is from RNAcentral.
GGCUUCAUAGCUCAGUUGGUUGGAGCGUCGCACAGGUAUUGCGAGAUCAUAGGCUCAAACCCCGUUAAAGUUC